ACCCUGGUAGUCCAGUGGUUAAGACUCUGUGGUUCCAAUGCAGAGGACACAGGUUUGAUCCCUGGUCAGGGAA
RNAcentral lists this transfer RNA (73 nucleotides) under Ovis aries (sheep). It matches the Rfam family "tRNA". From Rfam's summary of the family: Transfer RNA (tRNA) molecules are approximately 80 nucleotides in length. Their secondary structure includes four short double-helical elements and three loops (D, anti-codon, and T loops). Further hydrogen bonds mediate the characteristic L-shaped molecular structure. tRNAs have two regions of fundamental functional importance: the anti-codon, which is responsible for specific mRNA codon recognition, and the 3' end, to which the tRNAs corresponding amino acid is attached (by aminoacyl-tRNA synthetases). tRNAs cope with the degeneracy of the genetic code in two manners: having more than one tRNA (with a specific anti-codon) for a particular amino acid; and 'wobble' base-pairing, i.e. permitting non-standard base-pairing at the 3rd anti-codon position. The record is from Rfam by way of RNAcentral. Lineage: Eukaryota; Metazoa; Chordata; Mammalia; Artiodactyla; Bovidae.